Non-coding RNA from Picea glauca (white spruce), 119 nucleotides. The record is from Rfam. Lineage: Eukaryota; Viridiplantae; Streptophyta; Pinopsida; Pinales; Pinaceae.
GGGUGCGAUCAGACCAGCGUUAAUGUAAUGGAUCCCAUCAGAUCUCCGCAGUUAAGCGUGCUUGGGCUAUAAUAGUACUGGGAUGGGUGACCUCCUGGGAAGUCCUAGUGUUGCACCCU